RNAcentral lists this ribosomal RNA (1017 nucleotides) under uncultured organism. Its description in RNAcentral is "bacterial SSU rRNA". It matches the Rfam family "Bacterial small subunit ribosomal RNA", at positions 355 to 1375 of the family's 1533-position model. The record is from RNAcentral.
UGAGGAAUAUUGGUCAAUGGACGAGAGUCUGAACCAGCCAAGUAGCGUGAAGGAUGACUGCCCUAUGGGUUGUAAACUUCUUUUAUACGGGAAUAAAGUGAGGCACGUGUGCCUUUUUGUAUGUACCGUAUGAAUAAGGAUCGGCUAACUCCGUGCCAGCAGCCGCGGUAAUACGGAGGAUCCGAGCGUUAUCCGGAUUUAUUGGGUUUAAAGGGAGCGUAGGCGGACGCUUAAGUCAGUUGUGAAAGUUUGCGGCUCAACCGUAAAAUUGCAGUUGAUACUGGGUGUCUUGAGUACAGUAGAGGCAGGCGGAAUUCGUGGUGUAGCGGUGAAAUGCUUAGAUAUCACGAAGAACUCCGAUUGCGAAGGCAGCUUGCUGGACUGUAACUGACGCUGAUGCUCGAAAGUGUGGGUAUCAAACAGGAUUAGAUACCCUGGUAGUCCACACAGUAAACGAUGAAUACUCGCUGUUUGCGAUAUACAGUAAGCGGCCAAGCGAAAGCGUUAAGUAUUCCACCUGGGGAGUACGCCGGCAACGGUGAAACUCAAAGGAAUUGACGGGGGCCCGCACAAGUGGAGGAACAUGUGGUUUAAUUCGAUGAUACGCGAGGAACCUUACCCGGGCUUGAAUUGCAACUGAAUGAUGUGGAGACAUGUCAGCCGCAAGGCAGUUGUGAAGGUGCUGCAUGGUUGUCGUCAGCUCGUGCCGUGAGGUGUCGGCUUAAGUGCCAUAACGAGCGCAACCCUUAUCGAUAGUUACCAUCAGGUUAUGCUGGGGACUCUGUCGAGACUGCCGUCGUAAGAUGUGAGGAAGGUGGGGAUGACGUCAAAUCAGCACGGCCCUUACGUCCGGGGCUACACACGUGUUACAAUGGGGGGUACAGAAGGCAGCUACACGGCGACGUGAUGCUAAUCCCGAAAGCCUCUCUCAGUUCGGAUUGGAGUCUGCAACCCGACUCCAUGAAGCUGGAUUCGCUAGUAAUCGCGCAUCAGCCACGGCGCGGUGAAUACGUUCCC